ACCACUCUGAACACGGAAAUAUAGCACCACGCCAUCCUCGCCAUAUAUUGCAAACAUUUUCUGGGUUUUACUCGCGGGAUUUGUCAUGCCAUCUCGAUGUGUAGCGAUAUGAAUUACUCACAGGAAGACUCGAGACUCUAGGAGUGGUCCAAAAAAAAACUUCUCCUGCAAAGCCACGACAGCUUUGAAAACCUACAACAAUGCAACCUUGGUUUUCCAAAGACGAAGCCAAACAUAAAAAAUUAAGUGGCGGAAACCCUCAACACGAUGAAAAAAGCGUUGCAAGUCAGUUGCCACCCAGUUUCCCAAAAUCAAGAGAGAGUGGGUCGAGUCAUAUGAUGACCGAAGUGAUGCGGUGUCCAGCGAUGACGACUGAAGAGAUCCUAUGAGGCCUGCCAGAUGCUGAAUUUCUUCCGUCUGCGACAUCAGAUGACGAUGAUUUAGGAGAAAUAAAUGUAGCAAAUUUUGAUGACAUGAAAUCAUAAACUAGUCAUAUAUACAGUACACAUUUUUUAAAAGAAAAAUCAAGUUACCUUCAUAUUUUAAUGAUAAUGCAUUAUCUUUGUAUAGAGAACACUUCAUGCUACAGAAAAGAGUAAAUACAUAUUUCCCACUGCCAUUAUCAUUUUUCAAUGUUGCGCUAGUCCGUUGCUAUCCUAACUUUGUGUUGCUUACUAAAAUUAUGCUCUUUGAUGUGUGCCGUUGUGUGCUUGGUAUAACAUGUUGUGUCACAAUCUGACAACGAAAGCUAAUGCUGAUUCAACAUAAACCUGGUAUCAUUAUUGCGGCCUAUUGAAUAUUUUUUCAGAAUGUAAUAUAAUUACAAUAUUUUAUAUAACAAUAGAAUACA
Corythoichthys intestinalis (scribbled pipefish) is the source of this 850-nucleotide long non-coding RNA. RefSeq lists it as uncharacterized. The record is from RefSeq and is a predicted model, not a curated record. Lineage: Eukaryota; Metazoa; Chordata; Actinopteri; Syngnathiformes; Syngnathidae. The transcript has 3 exons.